UUGGUCAAAUAAUGAAGCGUUUUCGCUUUUCCUUCACUGCCAAAAUUGUCGGCGUACUCCGCUAUAAAGUACGGUUGAGGUUACCUUUAAGAGCUGUUCUACAUGAAGUUUCUUUCCUGGACCACCAUAGGCUACCUGCUUCUUCUGUUUCAGUAAACUCUCAAAUAACGACAGAUGUACUCUGCUGUACUUCAGCGAAAUAAUUCGCGUAAGGUGCUGAUAGUGCUAUCAACCCUGGCGUUACUGCUUUUCUAAGUGACCACCGUAACACGUCAGUGCUUUUAAGUACGACUGAAUUCGGGAUCUUGAGAGAGCUACUGCAGAAGAAUCGUCGUCCCCCCGAUUUAAGUAACCCAUUCAGACCAACAUUUAUUACAGCUCCAAUAGAGUUAGUCCAAUAGAGGGCUGGGCUACGAUAUCCUUAGCCCAGUGCUUACUUUUUGCUGCUAUCUAUUUGGCUCCCUACUUUAUAGUAUCGGCUACAGUACGACAUCGAAGGCGUCUCGGUGAUAGCCGAGAGGCGAUACACAGUUAAGUUUAGCAAUGCGGCAUCGCAGACUAUUGUAGGGGUAUAUAAGUGUAUCUUUUUACUCCUUGUUCAAUCUUCUCCGCCUAGCAUCAGAGAUCCUUCAGAAGGUUUCCAAGAGAAACAGAACAACGGGAGACAAUAGGCGGUGGCGUAGAUAAACUCUGGGAAAUGAGUUUUCACAUUGUUGCCGCUGUACCUCACCUAAGUCGCAGGGAGUGGCUUUUUGAAUUUUGUCGCAGUUACUUUCAUUGUUGGCAUCAUUUCGCCUAGCAGCAGUAACAUUGAAUCAAACCCACUUCGCCAGCAUGGUUGUCUUUGGGUGCCACUCAUCUACGCUAUCCCUUAUCUCUUUAUCUCACUAUGUCUCAGCUGAGACUGGCACCGUGAGCUGCAUCGGCUCUUUCUUCGACAAUCCGUUCAUUUAGUUAUUUCAAACAACUGGUGGAGGUGGCAUCCCCCUCCUACAAUUACCGUUGUAGUAUGGAUUCUACAGUGACAAUGGUGGUAAAAUCACAGCCGGCUGGCGACAACUUAAACAACCUUUACGAAGUCGAUGGUAGAAUAGGAACGGGACGAAGUGGAGGAAAAAAUAAGGAUUGCAAACAACGGCAACGACUACAGCGAUUGCGGCUGAAACGAACGGAGAAAUGGGAUCUGGCGAAGCGUACGGACAACGAAGCUUUAUGAAAUAGCGUAUCCGCGCUGGCGGAAGAAUAUCGGCAGAUCCAGUUUGCCCCACAGGGUUUCUCUCCUCUCACUCUUUUGCUCAUUCUCGUUUUUCUAACGUCAACAAUAUUGCUAAGUGGGGUUGAUAUCGACCUUUUCCUUUGCCGGGUCGACCUACGCUCGUAACAGUCGCGUACCGCAUUUCAAAGAAAAGCCGGAAAGCUUUGAAAGGCUGUAGCGAUGAUUGUUACUAAGCGUUCCAUAUAUACUACUUGCAAUAGAAACUUUGAAAAAGCGAACGAUGAUUAGAUUGUAGCGUGAGCGGAGGGUUACAAUAAAAUGUCAUUCGUUUGCGACGAACGGCUAUGCAAAGCAAUCGUAGACAGCGCUCCGCAGCGUUGAAGUGUGCUUGGAUCCUAAACAGUCAUAAAACAUGAAGCCAUAUAAAUGCUAGCUAACUAUCCGGGCACUUCUGACUUAAAUGAAUGCAGUUUUGCUGAUCGUUUGGUUGACCAGCCAGUUACGGAAGUAUACCUCAUCAUGCGGUUCUAAUCAUACUAUAGAAUGAAAGCAAUGUUGGCGGGAAGUGAGACGAAAAUUCUUAAUCGUUCCUGCAUCAAUGUGCCAAUGCCACUCCAUGGCAUAAUGCAACAUUGUCAUCAUCAUGUGCGUAGAAAACUGUGUAACCGUUCUACUAACCUUAAGCGCUACUCUGUGUUGUAUAGCCUUGCACAGAUCAUGCUAUUGUGCAGAUAUUCGCGUUGAUAAGCGGAGACCUCUACACAAAAGCUCAUAGAUGACACGUAGUCAUUAAGACAUGAACCGAGGAUGUGGGCCGAGUACUUGGGCUGACUUCCCCCCAUAGGAGAACAGUAGGAAAUAAGGCUUGCGUAAAAAAAUGUAGGCUUGCCAAUGGGCGGCAACGCGACAUGAAACCAAUCGACAGUCUAUGCAACGGAGUUUGUUUCGAAUAUUCGUGAGUGAAACUCCAGUUCAUUAGCGUACUGCCACUGCUGCUAUUUUGUACUGCUUUUGCAGCUGUCCCUCUAAUGAGGUGGGAACCUCCUCAUUGACGCCUCUUUUGAAAAUGAAGCAUUAUUACGAUCCAAGUUCGGUGAUGCAAUGCCCCGUGUCGUUGCUAUCACCCUUUCUGCCUCAUCGUUCCAUUGAAUGUUGGUCACCCGCUUCCUACUCAUAAAGGCUGCGGUCAAGUCUAACAGUACGAGUCUUCAGUGAACCAUGCUGCCUGUGACGUUUGAAGAGAUCUUUACGCAAACACUGGCAGGGUCAAGGAGCCGUUUGCGUGGUGCACCUUAUGUGAUUGUACGCAAAAAUUGUACAUCCACUGGUAAAGACGAACGUGCUUCAACUACUUUAGUGCAGGAUAUAUCGCUUAAACCGCUUGAGAUACUAGCCAGUUUCGCAUCCAGCCUGACUGUCAAAGCAGCUGCGAUGCUGCUUCUAUUGUCUAUGUUUGUGGUUAGAUAGAAGGUAGAGGUUGUCAUGUUUUGCUUGAACGUUGACUGCUGGCACCCUGGACGAUUCAAACGAACAAAUGAUUUUCUCGGAUGGCCUGGUCCAUACUCCGUUUCACCACAGCCACCAGCGUUGCGUAGCGUUCUGUUAUCAAUUGCUUAGGCCCAUUGUAUUUAAUGGAGAUAAAAUGGGCCCAGGAUGGUAAAGAAUAGGACGAGCUUAGUCAAUUGACGACCUCUUAAAUCCAGCCCGUGUUGUCUCAUAACCCGAGUCAAGCCGAAGCCGACCUUAUAAUCGUCAAUAAAAAGGCGAAAAAUCAUGAAAGAGCCUUGCUGGCAAAACGAACCGAUCUUAAUGGAAAUUUAUUGGCAGUUUACGUUAUCAUACCGCAUGAUGACGCCAGCGUGCUUAAUACGGCUUAAAAAUAAAGCUUAAUCACUGCGGAGGGCAUAACCUAUCUACUGUGCCACACCGCUUUAUCGAAUUUAAUCUCUAUAUUGGCAUUAGUCUAUGCAAGCAACCUAUCAAGCAUCGUACCCCGUUGAUUCGAUAAACUCGCAAAGAGACAGACGACCUUCACCCCUUCCCCCCUUCCCAUUAAAAGGAAGAUUCGUCCCUGUUUAUGCAUUUCUUCAAACCCUUCAAACAAACAACGGAGAUGUUGCAAGUGCCAGUUUAGUUCAUCUCAACGUCAAGGACGUACCUUAGUUUAUCUUCGUGAA
Molecule: long non-coding RNA, 3393 nt
Organism: Varroa destructor (honeybee mite)
Lineage: Eukaryota; Metazoa; Arthropoda; Arachnida; Mesostigmata; Varroidae
Source: RefSeq, a predicted model, not a curated record